Molecule: long non-coding RNA, 28750 nt
Filed under: Setaria italica (foxtail millet)
Lineage: Eukaryota; Viridiplantae; Streptophyta; Magnoliopsida; Poales; Poaceae
Description: long non-coding RNA (SITA_LNC001118)
Source: RNAcentral
GUGGGUUGAGUUACAACUACAAGAUCCAGUGGAGUGCUUUAACAUGUUCAGAAUGAGGAGGUCAGUUUUCUUAAGCCUUCAUGACACUUUGGUUAUGAAGUAUGGAUUGAGAUCAAGUAGACAAUUUUGUAGCAAGGAAGCACUAGGAAUGUUUCUAUGGGCUUGUGGUGCACCUCAAUCUUUUAGGCAAUGCAAGAAUAAUUUCCAUCGCUCAUUAGAAACUGUGAGUAGAAAAUUUGAAAAGGUUCUUGAAUCUAUCAUGAGAUUAGCUGUUGACAUUGUGAGGCGUAAGGAUCCGCAAUUUUCUACUAUUCAUCCUAAACUACAAGAAGCAAGGUUUUGGCCUCAUUUCAAAGAUUGCAUAGGAGCAAUUGAUGGUACCCAUAUACCCGUAACUGUGCCAUUAGCUGAUCAACCGAAAUACAUUGGUCGGCAUGGGUAUCCUUCACAAAACGUCAUGGCGGUUUGUGACUUUGAUAUGCGGUUCACAUUUGCUGUCACUGGUUGGCCUGGUUCUGUCCAUGAUACUCGUGUAUUAUUGGACACACUUGUCACAUACAAGGAUCAAUUUCCACAUCCUCCUGAUGGUAAGGACGAGUUAUGUUGCAAUUUAUUUUUUAGGGAAUAUUUGCUCAUUGUGAUAUAACAUAUAAAUAUAACAUGCAGGUAAGUACUAUCUUGUUGACUCUGGAUAUCCUAAUAGAAAAGGAUUUCUUGCACCCUACAAGGGACAGAGGUAUCAUGUUUCCGAAUGGCAGCAUGGUCAGCAUCCGGUAGGAUUGAAAGAAGUGUUUAAUCAUGCACAUUCAUCCCUUAGAAAUGUGAUUGAGCGAUCAUUUGGAGUUCUAAAGAUGAAGUGGCGCAUUCUCUUGAAUUUGCCCAGUUAUCCGGUUAACAAGCAGUCGAAAAUUAUAGUUGCUUGUAUGGCCCUUCACAAUUUCAUCAGAGAUAGUGCCGUACAUGACGUGCAUUUUGAAGAGGAUUUUCAGGAAGAUGAUGGUAAUUCAACCCAACCUAGCACAAAUGGUGGGGUGGUGCUUUAGGAGAUGACAUUGAUAUGGGUGCAUUGCGUGAUGCUAUUGCUGUCGCUAUGGUUUCAUGAUUCGUUGUUGUACCCAUGAUGGAUGUUUCCAUACUAGACCGAUCUAUCGUAUGAAUUUCAUAUUAUUGUAAUGUAAUUUCAAUUUAACAAACUCCAAAGGCAUUAGAAUUAUUGUCUUCUCCUCAGAUUCACAAUAAAAAUGAGCUAUUAUCAGCCUUAGGGGCAUUCAGGUCAAUUUACCAACCAGGACAGACAAUCGACAUUAAAUAAUCAGGAUUGCCAAACACCCUGCUUAUUCAGACAGCAGCUUAUCCAGGCAGCAGGCUUACCAGAUAAGCUUGCUUCUCAGAUAAGCGAGUUCCAGAAAAGCGUAUACAAACAGGGCCAUUGUCUCGCUACUGCUCACGGACUCGAUUCCAAUUGAAGCAUGUUAGAAUCGAACCGUUUGGAAGGGUUCGCUCGAUUUUUUUUUCUUUCAGAAUUCACUCGGAAUCGUUAUCAAGCAAACAGACCUAUGCCACCGACCUUGGGAAAAAGAAAAUCGGCCCACGGCCGGCCCACCCGAAAUUCCGGCUGUUGGUGGACGUGCCUUGUCCGAUUCAAUGGUGCGAAGUUAACCGGGAGCUUCAUAUAAACUAAAAAAGAAAAGAAGAAAAGAAAAGAAAAGAAACCCUCGCCGCCGCACCCGUCCUUCCAGCGGCUGUUUCCCCAAAUCCGAGCUCCGGCGCCGUCGCUACUAUCGCCGUCCAACCGCACCUCCCCCGAAUCCUCCUCCUGCCGUCUUCACGCCAGUCGACCGCGUCUGCCGGGCCGAUCGAUCGAGUCCUAGGCAUGCUGCUCCCCCCCGUAGAAGAGGUAUCCGGAUCCAGGAGGACUCGGUCGAGCGCCAGGCGGCGGCGGCGGCGGCAGCGGCAGCAGCAGCAGCGAUCGGAGUGCCAGGAACCCGGGCCUACCCCUUCCGUGCGCCGCCGAGGCGUGCAAGAGCGAAAAAGGAAUAGGGCCGGUGGUAGCUGUGAUGAUGAGAAGGCCUGCAGAUUGAAGAUUAGGACGUGCGAGGACGCGGCGCUACCACCUGAUGCAGCAACUGCAAGGGCACAAGAAGAAGAAGCAAAGGAGGAGUUGGAGGCUGCCUCCUCUGCCCUCUGUGAACCACGCAUCUACCAGGAAGUUGUGUACAAGGAAGUUAUUGGGUAUGAUUCCAGUGCUGUGGAGGUCUAUUCAGAGACCUUUAGGAAGGAAGAAGAUCAAGCAAAUGAGGAGGAGGAUGCUGUUUCCUCUGCUCCCAGCUCCCCCCUCUGUGAGCCACGCAUCCUCCAGGAUGGGCAUGAUUCUAAUGGUGUGGGGAUCUGCAAGCCUAUCGACUUAGAGACCUUCAGGGCAUAUCGUCAGGCCAAGGCGAAAUUUGAAGAGAAAUUAGGUUUGCUACACAAGCCUCCUUAUUCUCUCUUCUUUUGAUUUGUGUUGAUGUUGCUUUACAAUGUUAUAUGUUGUUGUCUUCAAUGCCUGUUCUAUAUUCUUGUAGCUCGCAAAAUGAAACUGCCCACACUUGAUGACAGUAUAUCUAGCUGUCCUGUGGAUGUUGAGUUGCGUCAUGCUCAGCAAUCAGUUGCAAAGGCUGCCAGAAAUCUUGCCUUCGCGCUUUCAUCUUCAAUUGGUACACAAUAUUUAGUAUUAAGUUGCCUCUUUUACUUAGGUGCAUUAUAUGGCUUGUUGCAUGCUAAGUAUGCACAUGUAUAUCAGGUGGGAAGCCAUUAACUCAAUGCUCAGGCUUCUUCAUUGGCUGGGAUGAGAGCGAUGAGAGUCAUGAGACUGGUAUUAUAUUGACAUCGGCGCAUCUAAUUUGUUCACAACAACUCUCAUUGGAUAGCUGGUUGUGCAAAGAUGAAUAUGCACCUGAUGCAGAGGUUAGUUAUGAUAGAAGAAAUUACAACCUAAUUCAUUGGAAGUUAUCUAAUACUUAUUAGAAAAUUGAUGCAUGCAUGUUAUGUUACUGUAUACAUAUGUGUAUAUGUUGUUAUCCGUCUAUUUGAGGAGGAUUAGAGCAUAAGAAAUAUGUAGGAAAAGUGCAAGGCAGAGGGUUUAGGACCAGGUGGUGGUGGCUCAUGGUGUACAGCCAGUGGAGAGGUAGUAGGUGGCGGAAGGUCCUCUUCUUCCACAGUUAAGCCAUAAUGUAAUACCUUGUUUAUGUUGAUACUUGAUAAACCUAGCCUAGGACCUCCUAACCUCCACGAAACAGAACUAUGAACAGUCUAGACUGUCUUGAAGGAGGCAGAGACGUCCGGUGACUGGGGCAUGAUUUCCAGCAUGCUGCAGGUGAAUGUGGCGGAAACAACCAUGAACCAUGGCUGCUGUUGCAAUGGUUGGCCCACUGUAAUUUCUGAUUUUACAAAUAUUAGCCUGUUGUUUAAUUUGUAUAGAAGCCACAUGGUAGCUGGUGGAGUCUAUGUUAUUUGGUUGCUGCGAUGUUAACCCUUGUUUGCAGUUCACAUUAGUUGGUCACACUCAAAUUAUAUAUGUAGACUCUUUUUACAUGCAGAGUAGGAUGUCUUGCUACUAAAUUAAUGGGUUGUCUUGGACUUCUAUAGAAAGUGUGCAGAAUAUUUUCCCCCUAAAGAUCGUUACCCUAUGCUAUUUUCUUAAUGUGAUGUCUUACAUUCUAUAAUCAUUGUUCCAGGUCACAGUUCACUUUCCAGACAGGACCACUGCAAAAGGCAAAUUGUGCUACUACCAAAAGCACUACAAUAUUGCACUAUUCAGAACUAAAGUGAAGCCUUCUCUUCAGCUGCCCUUUUUCAAUGACAACGUGAACUGUGGUCAAGAGGUAUUCAUGCUUGGAAGGGAUGAGAAUUCAAUAUUAAAGAUUAACCAUGGUCAGGUGCAAUUUCAGAAUCCAUGCACUUUUGAGCGGCAUCACUUUAUGUACACUUAUGGUGCAGCCCUGGAGGUACAAAAUUGUUACUUUUCUUUUGUCUCGAAUUGUUUGUUUAUUUUUCUUUUUGUUUCAUCCUAGUUUUUGUUCUUAUAAAUUCAAGUCAUUCCUAUAUGAAUGUUCUAGUGUUGUAUUGGCGGGCCAAUUGUUGAUUUCAAUGGAGGGAUUGUUGGGAUGUCCACGCCUGAUACUGAAGGAUCAUUUAUACCUACUUCAAUUAUACUCAGAUGCUUUCAUCUGUGGAGAAAACAUGAGUAAGUUUUUCUUUUCUGUUCAUAGUAAAGUCAAAUUCACUCAUUAUUUUUGUCUCUUAGUGUUCAAAGAUGAAUUAUACAAUUUCUUUAUGUGAUGGAAACAUGGGAACUAGAAUGUACUUGUUGGGAUCUCAUUUUGCAUAUAAACUGCCUACAAUUCAUCAUAUUUUACAUUGAGGUUGUCAUUGGCAUCGUGACACUUCUAACAAUUUCUGCGAAAAUAUGGCAUUUCAAAUAACGUUAAUUAUAUUAUGAAAGUAUGUGUCAUUUAUCUAGUAACAUGAAUUUUACAUUGUCAAUCUACCUAGUUCUUUACAUAUUAAUAAUUGAUGGUCAACAUUUAAAGAAGUUUGAUCAGUAGGGAUCUUGAAACAAUAUAUAUUUUUAGGACACAGCUAAUGCACAGCCGUGUGUGGGUUUGAUUGUCAGCAUGCACAGCAAAAAAAAGCACUUGCAAAUCCUGUCCCUAGUUGAUUGUGCUCACUUCUGAGUCCAUCGUGACACUUCUAACAAUUUCUAUGAAAAUAUGGCAUUUCAAAUUAAGUUAAUUAAUUAUUAUAAACGUAUGAUGAAUUUAGUAUAUGAAUUUUACAUUGUCAAUCUACAUAGUUCCUUAUAUUUGAUCAGUAGGGAUCUUGAAACAAUAUAUAUAUAUAUAUAUAUUUAUAUAUAUAUAUAUAUAUAUAUAUAUAUAUAUAUAUAUAUAUAUAUAUAUAUAUAUGUAUGGGUUUGACUGUAUAUAUAUAUAUAUAAAUAUAUAUAGACACUGAUAUAUAUUUUUUUAUUCUUGUAUACAUGUUUUUUUAUUUGCUAUAUGCAGAAAAAGACGCAAAACCUGUACUACUAGUAAUUGAUUAUGCCACCUCUGAGUCACCGUUGACCACACCAAAUUUAACUAAAUUGUGUAUAUAGCAUAGGUAAAUAUCAGAAGCGUCCCAAAUUUGCUUUUCUUACAAACUGGAUAUGCGUAACAUUGCAUACUGUAUCCAAGAAAUUUGCUCCAGUUCAGAUCCAAUAUGCUUCCAGAUGAACAUUAUAAAUACAACAUAAGUGAAUAUUUAAUUAUGGCAUGCGCAGUUGUAUUCUGUGUAGCAUGGAUAAUUUGCUCAUAGCAGCAUUGCAUAUUUUCCUAUGAAACUCAAAAACAAAACAAUAAUGAAAAAAGGUUAUGGUAUCACUAUUGUCCUUUAAGAUGGUACCCUUGUCAACAAUUGCUUUGUCCCCCCACAUUCUACUUUUCUGUGCAGGUUCAUGACUUCACCUUUUUCACUGAAAUUUUGAUUCUCCUUUACACAGAAUCUAAACAUAUUUAGAAUUCUGUUGACCAUUUUCAUGGCCUCCAAAAAGAAUAAGCAAUAAGCAAUUAUAUUUUGCUUGCCCAGGUUUAGAGAAGUGCCUUGUAAUUCACUAGUUCUAUUCAUCCUCCCUUGUUGAGACGGGUUUCCAUGUAGUCUAAGUCCUGAUCUGCCCAUUUAAAAAAGCAAAGAAAUUAGCAAGUAGCUAUUGUUUCGAAAGUAGAAAAAUACGAUAUGAAAAUAAAUAAAGUGCAUAUUUUUCUCUUGGGCAGCACAGAAGUCAAACAAUGCAGAGAGGAAGAUAGUGAUAUUAAUAUUCAAAUUAAUUUGUCCUGUGGAGUCAUUGAAAUCUAAAGAUGAAACAAUUUUGAUAGUGACAAUAUAGAUGUGAUUGAACUCCGAUUUCAUUUCAGUAGGAAGCGAAAAUGUGUGAAUGAUCUAACUGCAUUUGUGAUAUUCAUCAUGACUGAUAAUUCAUGUGUUCCUAGCACAAAAUAGACUUACUCAUUGCAAUUCCAUGUGCGCACAAAAGAAAAUAACAAGUUAUAAAUCAGUGUAAAGUGCACCAUUUUACCAGUCGCGUUCACAAUUCUCAAUUGGAAGUAAUAAGAAGCUAGCAUGGACUUAUAGGUAAAAUUCAGGUCUUUAAUUCUUUAUGAAUUUAAGGAGCAACUCUGGCUUAAUAAAAAAGCAGAUUUGUAGUAACUUGAGUAAAUUUAUAUCAGUUUACGUGAAAUCCAUAUGAGCUCAGAAAAAAAGAAUGAUAAAACUAAUAAGAAAAAUUUAAAGAUUGCAAGUAGCAAAAUCUAUUUCAAUUUACAAGCAGAACUCAGAUGUAAAUCUGUUUCAAACUGCCACUGCAAGCUCAGAGAAAAUUUGUUUCAAUUUAAAAGGAAAUUAAAUUUAUACUUAUCAAAAACAGCAAUUUAUUUUUGACUAUUUAUGUCUGACUUUGAUUGUUGCAAUUCAUGAAAUAUUCAAAGGAGCCUUUUCUAUUUUUUUUAUCUCAUUUCUCAAAUUGCAAGUGACCAAAACUGCCCUACAGGGCACGGUAGCCUCCUCUUCUGUUCAUAACACUUGCAUAUAGUCCAUCUAAGUAGUAUUUUAAUACAUCUUGACAAAUUGGCAUCACAAGUAGACACAUGGACUAUUACUCUAGUUCAAGUUCCAUUUUAACAUUUUAACUAAUGUUGGUAUAGUGCCCUCUUCUUUGGACAAUUGUGUUCACACACAGGCUCAUGAUGUGCAAGCUGGCGCAUAUCUGGCACUUGUUUGUUUCUUUUCACCUGAUUCACAGCUUGUCUUCUUUCAUAUUCUCCUUGCUUUUGUUUUUAAGUUGGGUUGCAGCAACUAGAAAAACUCAAGUUUACUUGAGAGCUUGAGGCCAGUGUCAGUCAGUGGUGGAAUUGUACCACUUAUGCAACUUUGAAUCUCUCCAUAGAGUAAUAGGCAUGGAAAUAUGAUUCGGUGUCAAAUUUUCUGUGCUUACGAAAAGCUAGGGUGUCAUGGCCGCUGAGUCAAUAUGAUGGCAAGGCCUGCACCCAGUUUUUGAAGCCAUUUAUGCAAUAGAAGCAAUGAGCAAUUUGUUAAAGUGAACAUCACCGCUGCACUUAAUGAUGCUGAUCUCCAUGAUUGACCCAGAGACUGAAAAGGAGUUCAGCUCUCAAAUUGAACGAGGCCAAUAAAAUCCUGUGCAUAAUAUUUGCAAUACUGUGCUAUAAGACUUAUGUAUGGAUUCCAGUAAAAUACCGGUACUCUAUUCCAUAAGAGUCCUUCCAGCCCAUGCAAUGGCUUAGCUGAACUAGCGAACAAGAAUCUCUGUUAUAUUCCAAAACGUGGAUUCUUUUGGUGAUAUAAGUUUUAUGAGAACUCAAUCGGUCUUGGUCACAUUAAAAAUUAUUGAUCUGUUUGAUAAACAAUUGGAAUGUGGUCUAUUUGAAUUUUUUUAGCUUGACUCAAAUUUAACAGUUUGGCCAACUAUUUUGACCUAAUUUGAAAUGCAACCAAAAUGUUUCAUGUAAAAUGUCUAUAUGUUACUACACCUCUCUUGGAAAAAAAAAUAGCAAAUGAAUGUUUGGUAUAGGCGCAUUCCUCGACCCCACCUCCAGUUGAAGCUUUGCGCCAUCCAGUAUCUUGAUCCAGCUCAGAGUGAGAGGAUAUUACUCGAAUGUGGCAUUGAUGACGGUCUCAUUGUCCAAGAGGUAUAUAUUAUUUAGUUUUGUGUAAUCACUUUAUUUAUGUUGUUUUUAUGUGUGUUUUCAUAGGGUUGCUGAUUCUCAUGUAAAUUAUUGGUUAAUGGAUCAAUGGCUGAAAAGAAUGGAAUUAGAGUUGGGGAUGUUAUUGAAAGUCUGGAUGGAAACUGUAUUACUUCUCUGGUUGAGGUGUGCCACAGGUUCCAUAGGUUUUUAUAAAAUUGAGUAAAAAGAAAUUAUGUUCUUAUGACAUUAUGUUUUUUGUGCCUUUGCUUGUUAUCAGUUGGAAAUAAUGUUGCUGCACUUGUCUCAACAACACCUUGAUAGAAGAAAUAAUAAUGAUGAUUCUGAAAUUGAUGUUGAGGUAACUACUUUUAUGCUUUUUAGUUGGGUCAUUUGCUCAAUGUUUGUUUCUCACACCCUAAUAUAAUAUGUUCACUUUUCAGCUUGGCAUAUUUCGCACACGCAUACGCAAGCGAAGGACCAUAAAAAUGACACUGAAGUUAACAGAUGAGGGAGAAGAAGUUGUUAGAGGUCCUAUAUCUUUCCUUAAAUUUAAUAUCAUGCAAAUAUGUUAAUGGUGCCGAGGAGGAUAUAGAUAUACUAAUAUAAUUGUAAAUCUUUGCUGUACAAUCUCUUCUAAACAGACAUUUCUACUGUAGGUUAUUACACUAUUACUGCUCAUAAUGCAAUUUCUUCCUUGGUGCCACCUGAUAAAGUGGAUCAAGGCAAGUGAUAUUUUAUUGUGUUUGCAUACCAUAUUUGAUAUCAAUGUGGAUUAGCUGCGAUGGUUAAUGUCCUGCAAGUGUUUUGUGCAAUGAUGGUUCUUUAGGCAUGUUCCUGUUUUUUUAUCUCAUUUGGAAAGGUAGGUUUUCUUUCAUAUCCCUACUUCGUAUUUUGCCUUUAAUUAUUGCAAUUUUUUUUGGUCUAGGUUAUGUUGAUAUCGGUGCUUGUUCUGCUUAGGUAUGCCACUCACCCAAGCUGCUGCCUGCUAUAGGUAAUGGUCAUUUGUUUCUUUGCUAUCAUGAAUCGUAUGGGCUCUUAUAUGUGAGUGUGAGUGUUGGUUAUAUUUGGUUAUAUUUCUAUAUUUUAUGAUGACUGCACUGUGCAGCAUGCACUUUUCUUUAACGUUUCAUUUCCAUUGCCAUCACAGAUGAGGUAGUUAACAGAGGACUGUUAGCAUGUGGGUAAUAAGUAGGCACAUGGAAGUAACAUGUUUUCAUAUCAGUCUUCAAAUUUUCUGGACUAUGAUUAUGUCACGCUUAAUCAAUCGAAAAUGGAGCAUGAGUUAAUAUUUUAUAAUUCUUUCCAGGUUAAAAGUUCACAUGUUCUCUGAAAGUACUGGUUCUCUCCCGCUCUGGAAGCAUGGUUACUCAUCCUUGUGAAGCUAUGUAAAUAUAUGUAUGCAAUCCUCUAGUGAUUAACUUAUUACGCGAAUCAGGUCGACUCAUGCUGCUAUUUGUUAACUAAGUGAUGAAUUUCAACUGUAUUAUACCUGGACAAGAAAUUGUUGUGAAGAUGCAGUUUAUGCCCUGAAUCUUGGGGAUGUGUCAUGGGUGCUCCCCUUUGCAAGACUAAUUCCUGCAAUGUCGAUUUAAUAUACCAGUUGAGUUGUUUUUGACUGAUUUUUACUUUCCUAGAACGACAUAGAAGAGCUGUGUCAUUUUAUUAAGAGUACGUAAUAACCCUACACAUACAUACACACUAGAUCAGAACAUGACAGCAAACCAAGGAGGCAGCCUAAAAGGGUCUUGGAGGCCUGGAGCCCGUUCUGAACAACAAACUACCAAAGAAGAGCUGUCUUCUCUUCUGUUAACAACUGUUAACAACGCUGAAGAAAACACUGAGAGCAGCGUCGUUGAAACAUUAAACUAUCAAAGAGCAGUUUCUAAAUCACCCAAGCUAUCAAGACGAUCAGAGAAUUAAGGCCAUGUUGGUGCUGUUUGCCUACCAUCUGACUGCAUGGCUCCACGAAUGGGAGAAACUGACCAAACCAGAUCUGGAGUUAGAGGUUGCAGCCCAAUUUUCCACAGGACAGAACCAUAUUCCCUUGAACAACGACACAAUAAACCAUCAGAUGGUUCAUAGUUUUAGUUGCUUGAUCACAUAGCGGACAUGACACCAUAUUCCCUUGAACAACGACACAAUAAACCAUCAGAUGGUUCAUAGUUUUAGUUGCUUGAUCACGUAGCGGACAUGACGCCACGCAAAAGCCAAUGUUGCUGGUACUGUAAGUGCUAGGGCCUGGUUGCGGCCUGCCAGGCAGCUCGCUGCCUAGGCAGCACCAUCUAACUUAGGCCACCAAAAUCUAACGCCUGAGAUUGUUGCCUGGACCAGGCAGCUUUUUCAGAGUCCAAAUCAAACAAACUCUUAGGGUGGCAUACACUAGCGUGGAUGGCUAAACACUUGCAGGACUAAUGCCACGGGCAACAGCAUGCCACUAGUACCAUCUCCAUGCAUAGUUUCACUCGCUAUAGCCAAGAUUUAACAACGAGAUCGGCUGCUUGCUGUCUAUCCUUACUAGCUAAAAAGUGGUCAAUAUCAGCGAUAUAUGUUUCGAUUCAAACGAUAUGUUUCAAUUCAAACGGUAGAAUGUCAUUUAGAGUGGCAUACAAUUUUAUUUUCCACCGUCAAAUACAAAAAGGCACUACUAGGAGAAUGUCCAUGGAGUAGCAUAACUUGUGUUUGUGAAUAGCAAUGGACAAACUGUGUGUUUGAAACAAUCUCUUUACAAAGAGCUAGCUCAUUUCUCCCUCCUCUCUCGCCCAUGUACAUAAAGGGAAAAAAUAUGUAACGCCCCAAAAUUAGACUAACGUUCCACGUUCAAUUUAGAAAAUGCAUGGUUUAUGAUUACAAAUCUUAGUUGUUUGCAUGACUUUAGAAUGCCUAAUAGAGCAAGAUACGCUGUAUAUGUUGGAAAGCGUAAAAGGGUUCUAGUUUGAUUUGGAGUUUGAAUAAUUGAGACAAAAUGUUGACUUUUUGAACAUUAGCUCGGAUGGAUGAUCGGGGACUGUAGAUACAUAGAGCUUGUCAAAGGCAUUCCGUUUUAUCUCGUAUGCAUUACAUUCGGAGUUAAGAUCAUAGUGUUUUAGUAUAUCAAAGUUUGGAUGGAUGAGAUGGCUCAAAGAACAAAAAUAGAAAACAUAAUCUACUGUGACUUCCCCCACCUCUCUCCCACACUGCCCCCUAAUGCCCCCCUCUCCCUCUCCCUCGCAUUUCCUUCCUCUCACGAAUAGGAGAAAGACAUCCUCUCUCCUCUUCCUGCUGCCGCUCCAAGAUCAGGGAGAAAGUAGGGGAAAGAAAGGGGGGAAAAAUGAGAAAAUGGACUCAGGAGAACAUGAAGAUCAAGAAGAUGUGCACAUUCAAUAUUUUCCCCAUCUUUGGCUCGUUGCUCUUCAAGGGGAAACCUUAGGUGAGACCCCAAGGACGUCCCUCCCCCUCUUUUGGAUGAGAUUUAGGGCAUGCAAUUAGCCUUUUUGUUGGAUUAGUGGGAGGAUUAGACUUUGAUCUUGUAAUUAGUCUAUGCAGGAUGGCACUUUUGGCAAUUUCUAUUCAUCAUCAAAUUUGACAAUGGUACAACACGAAUUAAUUUUUCCACCUGUAGAAUUAAUUUUUUGCCACAUGGUUUAAGAAAUAUUGCAGUUUAAAGAUAGCUGACUUAUUCGGAUGAGUUUUUGAACAGUAACAGAUUUAUUCAGUUUUAAGGCACCUUAGAGGCCAAAUCAGUUAUUUAAAUGAAUACCAUAAUUUUAGAGUUUUUAUCAAGCUUUCCAUAUUGGUAUAGAGCAUAAUUUUCAGUUUGCUAGAAGUCUAGAUAUGAAAUUCUAAAGUGGAUUUUUAGCACUCGAGGCUUGUACAAUGAUUAGUUAAUCCUAGUUAUUUUUACUGCAAAUAGCUAUAUAAAUUUAUGGAGAAUAUAGUUGUGCAUUUUAUGGUAAAGUUUCAUAAUUUUUGGAUGAGUGGUUUAGUAGAUAUCAAGGUUUUACCAUUGACGGUCAGAAUCCAAGACAUAUUCUAUAGUCUGAAUUGAACUGAAGAUUAGGACAAUUUACUUUCUGCAUAAAAAUAGUUUGACUAGUGAAAGUCGUAGUCUUUUUUUUUAGUUUCUGAAAAUGUAUUCAUUUACUCUAAUUGCAUUAAUUUGUGAAUUAAAAGAUUAAAAAAAAGAAGCGUUGCUGCUUUUGUAGGAUGGUUGUGGCUUUGAUUAUUUGUACUUUCUUGCAUGUUUAACGGUUCCGACAUAGGAGUGAUAUGCCUAUUGUUUAUAUAUGUUUGCUUGAGUGCAUAUACGUACUUAGUUGAUGGUGCUAAACAGAUGGUAUUUCUCUGUAUCAUGUCUAGUCAUGUUGGCAUCAUUGCUUUGAGGCAAGUAAACAUAGAUACAGUGGUUUUGCUGCAGAAACCAUAAAGUUAACCUCAACUGGGUAGGUUGCUGGGUCUAAACACCGACAAUGAAUACACCAGUGGGUAGGGACGUGAGCUCGCCGCCGGCGAGCUCUCUGGCGACGGUGACUACACUGCCUUACUUACCUCGACUACGCGCACACACUGGGGGUGUUCCUAGGGUGGAUUGGCUAGCGAUGGUGGCGAAUGACGGAGCGCGGCGGUGCUAGGAUUCGUUGCGGCGCACGGCUCAACGAUGAUGACUCAAUGACCAUGAGCUAGAUCAGGAGCUUUGCCUUGAGCUAAAACACUCGGCGCUCUUCCAAACCAGAGCUCCCGUGGUCAGAGAAAGUAGCUCAACUACGGCAGCCAUGGCAGAGGCGUGCGCGGUGGCGCAAGAGCUCCGGCCAACCUGGUCGUGGUCCAGGCAACCAAGCAAGCGCUACACCAUCUACAGCUCACGCGUGACACACCCUAACACUCAGACAACGACCAAAACCCCAGCAGCAUAGAGCUCCAAGGCAAUGGCCUUACAAAAAAGAGAGGGGCUGGCGCACUUGAGGAAGACGGUGGCGGGAAGGUGUUGUGGUGGAAGGGGCUAGACGGUAACUGGUGGAACGGAUUCAGGACGUCAAGGCAACUGUGCUGGUGGAGGGAAACAGGCGGUGGUGGUUGGACGGCAGCGGAAAUCAUCGGCGAUAGAGGCGCGGUGAAAAAAACUGGGCGGCAGCGGUAAAACGGAUAACCACGGCGGGAGGGAGCGGUACUUAUACAAUUUUUUACCGCCUCCUCGUCGGUCACCUCCUUCUUGCGUGUCUGCUUCACCCCGCACGCAUCGCCGGCGCAUGGCACAGUGAAACCGCCCCUGACCAUCGGCGGCAAGCAGCUGCGUGGCAGCGCCUUUGCUUUGUUCUUCCCCCUUCGCUCCGAUUCCGCCCAAAGUACAAACCAAAUUUGCACCAAACUUUCAAUUCAAACUCUACAAUCUCCUUUAAUCAAACUUGUGGAAGAUCCAUGGAACUUCAUUCAAUAGAUUUGCAUAUUGGGCAAAGGAUCACUCUAUCCCUUGAAUCGAAGCCCCAAAAAUUUGCCCAAGCACUAUCUGUCAGUGUUCGAUUGAACACGCCAUUUAGUUUUGUCAGUUAAGUUUCGAAACAGCACAUUGUUUCAUCUUGGAGCUCCAAUUUAAAUAUCCAAACCAACUUUUCCUUAUCCAAGAGCUACUGUCAUUUGUUACCCACAGAUUCUACAUCCCAUUUUGCAUGUUAUUGUCCAACCUUCUUUUGUAGAAAUUUUCUAAAGUUUGAGCUAAAUUUGGCCAGUUAUCACUAUUUUCAGAGUUGAAAUGGCAAGUGACAUUCAGUUUGUCAGUAACACCAAGACAGGAAGAACUUUCCAUCUUUGAACUUCAAUUAAAUUAUGAAUCCCUUGAUUCCUUUGAUCAACAACUGAGCCAAGAUGCUCACAGGAUAUCCAAGUUCAUUUGUUGUCCAAAAAGAUCCAAAGUUUAUAUAUCAAAGCUCCCAGAAAUGAGGCUCAAAGUUGACUACUUGGCAAAAUUCUCAGACUUUGGAAAUUUUUUGGAUUUUGAACAGUAUCCCAAGUCAACCAAGUCAACAACUUUGUCUAUGUAUUUGAGAUACUUAUGACUUGAAUUUGAUUCCCAACUUGAUUCCACUGAGUUCCAAACACUUUCAACUUAUGAUUCCAUGUUGGAUUCAAAUUUUUCCAAAUUCGACUAUUUAUUUGAAUUUUUGGUCGAAUUUCAUCCAAAUUUGAACUUGACUCAUAAUACCUUAAUUUACUCCAAAUUUCAUUAUUAUCAUCUUGAUGAACUCUCUAAGUCCCAAAACCACUUGGUGUUACAUGGGGCGGGCGGACGGCGGGGCGGUGGCGCAUGGCCCGAUGUCGUUCGGGUACUGUCAGGCUCAUGCGCGGCGCCUUGCUGCGGCAGAGAGAAGCCAGCGGGUUGGGGCCGGGGCCGAGGAGGGUGCUAGGCCACGCGCGCAAAAUGCAGCAAUGGCAACGGAUCUAGAUGGACUGCGGUGUGUGGCAGCGCGCGAGGGGAGGCUAGGGGAGGACGUCGGGGGUGCUGAGGCGCGCAUAGGCAAGGGGCGAAGAAGAUGUCGAGCAGGACGACGCAGACGAGGCGGGCCGACGGCGGUGGCGACGACGGGACGACGGCCAGAAAUCGGAGGAGAUGAGGCGGGGGAGAAGGAGGCGGAGCUUAUAAACCCCCCUAGUCCCGAGUUGAAUUUGCAACUAGGACUAAAGGGUGCUUUUCGCGCGGGAGAUGAAAAAGCUUCCUUUAGUCGCAGUUGAUAUUACCAAUCGGGACUAAAGGCCCCCCUUUUCAUUUCCCGCUGGUUUUGUAGUUUUAAUUUAUUUAUGUUUUAAGUUAUUUUGUAUUGGUGUUGUUAAAGAAAACUAAAAACUUUACGUAUUUUGAACAUGCAAAAAUAUAUUAAAUUAGCAAGUAUAUUUAAAAUAAGUUUGAAUCGGCCAUUAAUUCUAUAUUAGUUGAUUAAUUUUCUAAAAUAAUUAUUUUAAUGCAUCACUAUCAUCAACAAACUCUUCAAUUAAAUAAUUUUAACACGCAAAAAUGCAAUUGAUGUAUGUGAUUAAGUUAACAUUGUUUAUAUUGAUCUAAUAAAGGUUCACAAUAAAGCAUUACAAUAUAAUUCAAAGAUUGAGCAUUACAUAAAGGUGCGUCAUAUUUAGUAACAUUAAAAAACUUCUUGUUGACCAAAGUUCUUUGUUCAUGAUCGCGACGUAAGCACAAAGUCUCUUGUUUGGCUAGCAUGAUGCUUGGGUCAACUUCAACAUCGAAUGAAGGCACGCCAUCAAACUGAUCAUAAUCAUCUGACUGGUUUGUUUUAUCCUCGACUCCCACAAUUUUUCUUUUACUUGGAAGAACUAUGUGGCGCUUUGGCUCCCAUGAUUUUUCUUUAUCUUCUGAAUUUUUCUUGGGUUUGCUACACAUGUACUUCACAUAGAAACUUGAUGCACAACAUUGGCAAGGACGAAUGCUUUAUCCUUGUAUCCAGUCUUGAUCUAGUCCAUUAUUGUCAUUCCAUACUAAUCUUUUGUUACGCUACCUCCAGCUAGCUUCACCCAUUGACAAUAAAACAAAAAUCGACGAUGGUCCAUAUACACGACCUUCCUGUGUAGUGUUUCAAAUUCAUGCUGUGUGUAUUGUCUAAACAAUGGGUGUAGGCCUGAUAUCCCUUCUUUGUCUAUCCUAAAAUGUUACUCAAGGCAGGCCAAUCAUUGAUGGAUAUGAACAACUAUGCUCAUAGGUCAAAGCUCUCUUGUUUAUCCCCAUGCCACACAUGUACAGUUUCUUCCUUCCAGAGCAGUAAAAGUUCAUCAACCAAUAGUCUUAGGUACGUACAGUUUCUUCCUUCCAGAGCAGUAAAAGUUCAUCAACCAAUAGUCUUAGGUACACAUCAAUGUCGUUGUCGGGUUGUUUUAGACCUUGGAUAAGCAUCAGCAUCAUAAUGAACUUCUGCUUCAUGCACAACCAAGAAGGAAGGUUGAACAUUAAUAGGGUCACAAGUCAAGUACUAUGAGCACUACUCAACUCACCGAAUGGAUUGAGUCCAUCAGUAUUUACACCAAACCUUAUGUUCCUUGCAUCACUUUCAAAGUCCGGGAAUACUCUAUCAAUUGAUCUUCACUGGCCCCAUUCGCGGCAUGUCUAAGCAUCUCAUCUUAUUUACGUUCUUUUUUGUGCCAUCGCAUCAACUUAGCAUUCACCUUAUUUCUGAACAAAUGAUUCAAACAUGGCAUUAUAGGGAAAUAUCACGUCACCUUUGGGGGAACUCUCUUCUUGGGAGGCUGCCCCUUAACAUCACCAGGAUCAUCUCGCUUGAUCUUAUACUGCAGCGCUUCGCACACAGGACAAGCAUCCAAUUUCUUGUAUUCAUCACCACAAUAGAGGAUACAGUCAUUAGGGUAUGCGUGUAUCUUUUGAACCCUCCAAUCCUAGAGGGCAAACAACCUGUUUAGCUUCAUAUGUUGUCGACAACAAUUCAUUAUUCUCGGGAAGCGUGUUCUUUACAAUUUUCAAUAUCUCCUAAAAUAUCUUUUUAGACAUGCCAUUUUUGCCUUUCAUUGCAGCGUGUGGUACCUAGUUUUUUAUGCCCCUGCUUGCAAUCUGGGUAUAACAAUUUUUUGUGAUCAUCUAUCAUAUGCAACAAAUUUUUUGUGGUAUCAAGUUUUUAUACCCAGUUUCGCAGUCUUUCUAUGCAUCCCGUAGCACCUGACCAAGAUCAUCAAUAGGGUCAUCUUCUGCAAACUCUUCGUCAUCAGCCUGACCCAUUGUAGUAUCUACAAAAGUUUGGUCUACAGCCCAGUCCGGAAUGUUGUUAUCAUCCUACUCUUCUUCGUCGUCUUCCAUUAUACCCCCUCUUUUGUCAUGCUUGGUCCAAACUAAAUAGUUAGGUAUGAAACCAUAUCUAAACAAGUAGCUGUGAAGAGUCCCCUAGGAACAGUGGAAGACAGAAGCCGAAGGCCAACAAGCCGAUGACACCAAGAUCGGAUAGCUGAUGAAAAAUACCCAAGAAAUAUUCCUCCGAGCAAUAAACUGAGAUUUGAUUAUUUUAGUUCCCCCGUUGCAUCGCUAUCACCAUCAAGCGGCUGAUUAUUAAUUCCAACAAUAUCAGACAAACAUAUUUGUUUCCCAUUGUAUAUAUUUUCUCUAGGAAGCCGACGAAAAAUCCCAGCGAAGAGCAAGAGCGGCCAACAGCUCCACAAUAAAUACUACGCAAUCGGCCCUGCUUAUUCUCUGCCUCUUCCGUUGAUCACAAGACCAUCUUAAAAGAACGCGUAACUAAUCAAGAUGCCCCAUCGCCUGCAAUAUUUACUUUCAUCGGCUGUCCAUCAUUAGUGGGAUUGUUAGCAGGAUGGAUGCCGCCUCUCUCUGAUCGCCUGCUAGUAUAUUACUAUAUAUCAGCUCUGUCGGUUCUUGAUAAGGGCUAACAAUAGUCGUAUAUUCCGCAGCCGAUACACUGAAAAGCCAUCGUAUUCGCUCGGCAAUGGCAACUGAGAUUGAACUGCUCCUGCCGACGCAUAUUCUCGAAACCAUUGACAACUUGCUCAACCUGUAUCUUCUUCUUAUCAGAAAGUUUGUCGAUGGUCAUUGAAAUCUCCAGACUCAGGUCUGCUUCCUUAGACAUUGUAGAGAAUUUUUUGGUGUGUCCCAACGUAGAGCCGGCUGAUAUAUCUUUCCUAGAGGCGACGGAUGCACAGCUAUUUUCUCAACCCAAUCAUUACUUCGAUAAGUUCCUUUUUGAGUGGUUGGCUUGAUAGGUGCACAUGGAAUCCCUCCGAAAUCUGGGACACCAUGAUAACCAGGAGGCCAGGAGGCAUCCUUGAAGAAUAAUAUAAUUUAAUGGGAGCUACUUGAUUUGACGAUCUGUAUUCGUCAUUGGAAAUAGUUUCCUGAAUCUCGCACUGUUCGUCCUGAGAAAGCUUAUCUGGGAUCACCGGCUUAAAAACUCCCUUAAAAUUAUUCCAAAAUUUUAUUUAGCAGAAAAACAAAAAAAAUUACCUCCAACAGCUCCCCCAUCCUUCCCGUAAAAAUACGCGGAUGCUAAAAACACCUCCGUCAUCUUGUAUAUGAAGACCUAAAACACCUCCGUCAUCCUGUAUAUGAAGAUCUGGAAGAUCUACUUAACUCCAGUGCAGGCUCUAGAUCGACUCCCGUAGGUGCGCGGCGUACCGGUCAAUUUGACUUGCAAUUGAUAGAGGAAACGUAAAAUUCAUGAGCCGAUAAGCGGCGGAGCCUUUGAGCUCAUAGGUAGGCAUUUUUUGAAUAAACACAGUUAAGAUAUGUUCAAUAUAAUCAUGGAGCGUAAAUAAAUAGAAGCAUUAAUGGCAUGUGCCUUCGGCUAUAUGAGCCGAUAGGCUAAGAAAAAUCAUUAUAACACAACAGCCAUAAAAAGGGAGCUCUUGUUAACCACGCGCUUAUCAGAUAAGUUGACAGAUCUAGCCAAUGUCCUUAUAAAUGUAUUGAACUCAGAUAAGAUAACAUCAAUGUGAGGGCAUUGGCAUCAAUCUACUAACUUAAAAGAUUAGAACAUAGCAACAAGGAUCAGCUGAUGCUAACUUUACGCAAAUCCGAUAUAUUAAUAGAUCUUAAUUAAUGUCUUGAUGAGUCUAUUGAAUUUAGACAAGGCAACACGAAUGAGAGGGCAUUAAUCUCGAUAUGACAAUAUAAAAGACUAGAGCACAAUCACCAAAGACCUCUUGCCUACCGCUUGCAAACGGAUUAAGGUAACAAAAUCUAAUCAAUGUCAUGACCGUGCAAUUAAACUUAGACAAGGUAACACGGUGAGAGGGCAUUAACUUCGACCCAUUAAUUUUAACAGACAAGCUCGUGGCAGCAAGGCUUCGUACACAUCUCUAUUGGCUCAAUGACGUUAUCAUGCUUCUGUGAGAUACAGAUAAGAUCGGUCUGAAACAUCGGCUCUCAACAGUGACGUGUUGACGUUAAGGGCCAGACGGUUAGAAAUACGAGGGGUAGGGGUAAACAUCUAUCCGUUCUAGCGUAUGUAAAACAAGAAAGACACACAAGCUGUGAACAUUUAGACAAGGCAAGGGAGUUAAUGAAGACAACCUAACCAGAUCUAAGUCGUUCAAUAACUAGGAGCAACGUCAAAGACAAGCAGAAUACUGGACAAAGCCUAAAAAGUUCUACUUGCAAUCUAAGUUAACUUGAUAAUUAGCCACAUGAUCGAAUAUUAGAAUAUUGUAAUGACCGAGUGAGAAUAUUAGAAUAUUGUAAUGACCGAGUGACGGUACUUACAGGCUCGCCUGAGAUCGAAACUGAUGCAGCCCUGCGCGCAAGAAGAAACUCGUUGGGAAACUACAUUACUCCUACUCCUAAGGGUUGGUGACGUGGCGCUGAAAAAUUAUAUUAAUUGAUCGAGAGAUAACCUUACAAUUGGCCGCGUGAUCUUACACCAAAACAGUUCGGACUCUACCUAGGUACAAAUCAAAUAAACUUCCUAAACAUACACUCCUUAAUUAACAAGCAAAUCUAAUUAUAGAUACGGAACAAUUGGCCAUGUACUUCUACUUGCGUCUCUAGGAAACUUGUCGUGCAUCCAUCCUUUCCUUAAUUACUCUUGUAUGCAUGUACUGGCCCUCCGUUCUAGACUUCUAGUACCAAGGCCGGUCACCCCAGGAGGUCGCCAUCAUCCUCGGCAGCUUGUGGCAUCCCGGGAGCUUCGUAGUAUCGGCCGUUGACGGGAGCGCCAUCUUGCCGUCCUCGGCAAUAUCAUGGGCCUGUUUAGUUCCCUCCAAAAUCCUAACUUUAGUACUAAUUAAAAAGAAGAUUCUCCAUCACAUCAAACUUGCGAUACAUGCAUUAAGUACUAAAUGUAGACGAAAUCAAAAACUAAUUGUACAGUUUUGUUGUACUUUGCGAGAUGAAUCUUUUGAGCCUAAUUAGUUAAUGUUUGGACAAUAAUUCACAAAUACAAACGAAAUGCUACAGUUACGUAUUUAUGGUAAAAUUCCAACUUUACCACUCUCAAAUUGAAAAGUAAACAAGAUCAUGGUGUCGCCCUUGCCACCGGUCCCGAGGACGACCUCAACGUGCCCGCACAGAUCUUCGUCUUCCUCUUUUGUAGGAUUUUAUCGGCCAUAAUCCUGUGGCAACACCAGUUGCCCCUCGCUCCCAGUCAAAGGAAUAAAUGAUCUGACAAAUGGGAUUCGUAUUGAUUUUACACAAUGAUCCCAGUUGUUACCGGGCAAGAUUCCGAGGGUAACGAUAAAGUGGAAUAUCCUCUUGCUUGUCAGAUUGAGGAUUUGACUUAGAAUUCACUCCUGUCUUAAGGAAGCGUAGUAGCAGCUCACCGGAACAUCGGCCUACUAUACUGGGAGCCAAGUUGUUUCAAGUCGAGACGCUGUCGAGGAAUUUUUGGCCACUGGAAUCUGUCCCACGCGCCAUGGUUCGGAAUCGAAAGGCUUUUACAAGAAAAAGGUUCCAAACUUAGAUCUUGAAGUUAGAUUUCCUAAAUUUGGUGUUAAGAAACCAGAAGGUUAUACCGAUGAACAAUUUCUCACUGAGAUAGAGAGGCAUUCCGUUUCUAUGAUUGGCAACUAUUUGCAAAGGGAACGUGACAACGCCAUGGUGGUUCUACAGGAUGGAGGGUGAAUCAACUGAGUUUUUGAUGAAAUGUGUUUCAUAUGGUCUUCGCGCUCGCCCUGGAGGCCCUGCCAAGAAAAUGCCAAACCACCGCCCCCCCCCCCCCCCCGAACAUUGGCUCUAACGUUCCUGAGACUAGGGGUGUUUCGAUACUACCUGCUAAAUUUUAGCAGUGUCAUAUCAGAUGUUCGGAUGCUAAUUAGGAGGACUAAAUAUGAGCUAAUUAUAAAACUAAUUGCAAAACUCCUGUGCUAAUUUGCGAGACGAAUCUAUUAAGGGAGCGUUUGGUUCCCUUUGCUUAUUUUUAGCACGUGUCACAUCGAAUCUUUAAAUACUAAUUAGAAGUAUUAAACGUAGACUAUUUACAAAACUCAUUACAUAAGUGGAGGCUAAAUGACGAGAUGAAUCUAUUAAACCUAAUUAACCCAUCAUUAGUAAAUAUUUACUGUAGCAACACAUUGUCAAAUCAUGGACUAAUUAGGCAUAAUAGAUUCGUCUCGCCGUUUAGCCUCCACUUAUAUAAUGGAUUUUAUAAAUAGUCUACGUUUAAUACUCCUAAUUAGUAUCUAAACAUUCGAUGUGACGGGUGCUAAAAAUAAGCAACCGGAACCAAACCAGGCCUAAGCCUAAUUAAUCCAUCAUUAGCAAAUGGUUACUGUGGCACCACAUUGUCAAAUCAUGGACUAAUUAGACUUAAUAGAUUUGUCUCGCGAAUUAGACUUCAUCUGUGCAAUUAGUUUUAUAAUUAGUCUAUAUUUAAUACUCCUAAUUAGCAUCUAAAUAUCCGAUGUGACAGGUGCUAAGCUUUAGCAUGGGUAUCAAACACCCCCUAAAUAAAAAGAAGAAGAAAACAUCCAAAAAGCAGUUAUCAGAUAUUGCUGGUUCGUUAGGGGUUUCGAAAUUGACGAAGAUUCCUACUGCUUUAAAGAAGCACAAAAGAGAUGCUGAAUACGUCGUGUCUGCCACACAUCUUAAGAUUACUCCAAUCAUUCCACAUUCUGGUAAGGUGUUGGUAUAUUUAAUGAAUAUGAAUAAAUCCGCAAGUGCAUGGUUGUAGUUUUCACCUCAGAGUAUUUUAAGGGUAUCGAAUCCAAAAGAACGUGUGCGUACUAACUUCUAGUUUAAUCGGUCCAAGGACAUAGCGAGAUAGGUGGCGUGGGUAGAGAGGGUUCCUAAAGAUAGCUAUAUAGGUGGGUUACCAAGGACACAGUUAAUCUCUCGAAUCAAAUACUUGCUUUCGGCACCAGCCUACCAAGAAUGAGUACAAGAAAUGUGUUGAUCUAUUAUGAAAAUUUUAUGACAUAUUUGUUUUCGUCAUAGAUCUUUGACGUUUCUGGCUGAAAACGUCAUAAAGUUUCACAUCUAAGCAAAUUUAGUGACAAAGUUACGGAACGCCGUAAAAGUUACUACUGUAGCCAAAAAGAAAUCAUUACUUGCAGUUACAUGGUGGUUUUGUGAUGAUAUAAGCUCCGCGAAAACAUCAUAAACCAACAAGGAUCCCACAUAUAAGUUUGAGCUGAUAAAUAGGGUGGUAAAAUAAAAUGGAAAACGUACUUCUCCCGUGAUUCGAACCUGUUACCGAUUGAAUGGAAAGUCUUUACCACGACUGGGUCCAACAUGUAAGGUAAGUUUCAGAUGAGUGUGGUAGUUCAUGGCAGAAAGUCUAUGCUACAGCCAAAAAAUAGUUUACCCGCUGCUGCACUCCCGCAAUAGGAAAAAAAAACAGAGAGAAGGCGGCCCGAACGGAGCACUCCGGCGGAGAUCUGCGCCUCCCGACAGCGGCUCAGUCCUACGACAUCACAAAUCUAGUGCUUCCUACUGCAACGUGUCAAUUUGGUCAAUAAUUUUGAGUUGAAUUCGACGAAAUUUCAUUUCGUAUUGAGGUCUUUCAAUCUUGUCAGUAAUUUUGAGUUGAAUUCGCCAAAAUUUCCUAGAUGGAUAGAUGUUGGAUACCCAAUUGUCAACUAUUUACCCCAGAAAGGGGUUGAUGAUUUCACAAAAUUUGUUAAGAGUAGAUACUUUGAUGAUGAACAAAUACUAUGCCUGUGUCGUGGAUACCUGAAUCAAUCUAGAUGUACUGUAGAAGUGGUGCACUUGCACUUACUUAUGAGUGGGAUGGCAAGCACCUACACUAGAUGGAUUCAUCAUGGAGAAAAAUUCGAGCAUAGGGUUCAUAAAAAUACAAAUAUGCAGGAUAAUGAGGUUCAGAAAAAUACAAUUCUGCAGGAUGAUAGGGUUGAGGAAAUUGUAAUACUGUCAGAUGAGGGGGUUCUGGAUAAUGCAAUUCUGUAGGAAGAUGGUGAUCAGGAAAUGGUUUAGGAAAAUGAACAAAUUCAGGUAUGGAGGAGGAUGAAGGCACUGAAGAUGGACUUCCUGAAAUAAUAGCUGGCAUGUGCCAUGCUAAAGAGCUGGAAAGGAAAAUGUUAGAAUAUAAAGAAACAUAUAAACCGUAAGGUGUCACAGGGAUCUAAAUAUACAGAAUUUACAUUUGUUGUGAAGUUACUUCAUAUCAAGUCUUUCUAUUGGAUCAGCAAUGUCGCAUUCAAUGUGAUUCUGAAGGUGUUAUCCCUUGCUUUCCUAGGAGGAUGUGUUCCGACAUCUUAUGAUGACACAAUGAAGUACAUACGUGCCAUAGGACUCGGCUAUGAAUCUAUCAGAUUUUGUAAGAAUAAUUGUGUAUUGUUUCUCAAGACGCUAACGAGACAUGAUGUGUGCCUAGUGUGUUUUGAAGCGGAUUCAAGAUGGAAAGAUGCAGACAAUAAGAAGUGCAAUCCUCAUAAGGUAUUGAGGCAUUUUCCACUGGUUCAAGGCUGAAGAUGACGUUUCUUUCAUAAAAAAUAACAAAGGAUGCACAAUAUUAUAAGUUGUAGCUUAGCCAUCCAGCUGAUAGUAAGGCAUGGAAAGAUUUCGAUAACAGUUGGUAGGAAUUUGCAAAAUAUGCUAGGAACAUUAGACUUGACCUUGCAACCGAUGGUUUCAAUCCAUUUGGCAACAUGACCAACUAGUCUCUAAUUAAUUAGCCAAGACCAUAGCAAUGAUGGUCCUUGUGGUUGUACUAUUUUCCCGAGUGGUUCUCCAUGUUCCAUUUAACAUUAUCAUGUUAUUGUGAAUAAAGCAUAGGUAGAAGGAUGGUUAGGGACACUUGCCUUUCUCCAACGCAAAGUUACUCUUAUUGCUCUUCAAAUCUUGCUUUCUUGAAACUUUAAAUCUUCAAAGCUUCGAACGGCGAUCCUUCUACUCGAAGCAAACAUCGGCCCUAGCAAGUAAACAAGUACAACUAAGAACAAUACAAGAAAAUAAUAGAAAGGCUUCAAAAGAGCGUACUAAAGGACAAGGCUCGAUCUAACGUCACGUAAACGCAAGAAACGCUUAAAAUGGCCCUAAGGUUGAUAAAGCAAAUCUAUCGAGAGGUUUGAUUUAUAAAAGAAAUAAAAAGGCUAUAUGCUUGAUCCUUUUUAAUUAAAUAAAACAUGCACAUAGGUUAUUUCAGAGAAAUACCCUAUUUGGAAUUAAUCGAGUUCUAGUCAAAUGUUAUUUAUAAAUAUUUAAGUAUAAUUUAUGCAAAUUAAGCAUUUAAUUUUAUAAGAAAAUUGUAAAAGCAUCUAAGCGCAUAAUUUAUAUUUCGAGUUUAACUAAGCAAAUUAUAUUAAAACACGUAUUUAUAUUUAUAUUAGCCAAAUUAACUUUUAAUUAUGAAAAAAAUUGAGAUAUAACCUAUGUAGCUUUUAUUUAGAAAGCAAAUUGAAUAAAUAUUAAUCAAAUUAAAUUUGAUUUGAGAAAAACCGAGGUUUAACUCUAAAUGGCUUUUAAUUGGAAGAAUUAUUUAAAUAAGUGUUAAUAAAUUUAUCUUUGGUUUAUGAAAAACCGGUGUAUAACCUAAUUGGAUUUUAUUUAGCAAAGGAUAUGAAGUAGGUAUUAAUCAUAUUGAUCUUUAUUAUGAAAAAUGGUGUAUGACCCUUGGUAACUUUUAUUUAGAGAAACGCAUGUUCAUUAGGCAUUAAUCAAAUUAAUACUAAAUUUAUUUUUAAAGACAUGAAAUGGAGGAUGAUAUCACUACUAACGUGUACUUUAAGCUGUUAUGAAUGCAACGCAUCUUAAACAGAUUAAAACGGAGCUAAGACGUGGAAUGUAUGGACUAAACAAGGUUCUAAGGACCUAAACAAGAUUAACCGUAGAUCUUAGGGUGUGGCGGAACCGCCCUAAUUAACUUAGCUAAAGCACAAUUAAGUCGCCUGACAUGCGCUCUUAUGCUUUAAUCAAGUUAACUCGGCAGUCCGUCAGAUUUCAUCUGAUAAAACCACUAAUCAGGACCGAGAAAAGCAGAGUUCACACGAAGGUGAGUGGUUCCAGAGAGUACAACAAAUCAUCCAACUUAAACAAGUACAUCAAUUUAUUACAACACUGGUUCGAAAAUUAAAGUUUUACAGAGUUCAUAAGCAACGGAAAAGAUAAACCAGCGGAAGCUAGCACCGGCGUCGGAUGUCACGGAUAAGGCCGAUCCUGACAUCACUGGUCCCUAUCCUCGGCAUCUGAGGAGGGAUCCCACUCAACCAUCAACCCAGGCGGGAGCUGGGGAGGCCAAGUGCCAACAGCGGCAAACUCAGAAGUUUCAACACCACCUGAAAGAUGUGCCACAAGCAAGGCUGAGCAACUAUGCUCAACAAGACUUAACCGACCGGUGGGAACUCCUCCACCAACUUCUAGACAUGCAAGGCUUUUUGGCUGAGGGGUUUGCUUUGCGAAAAGCAAUUAUAGUAGGUCCUUACUUUCAAUAUUUUAGCUUCCAGUUCUACGUUCAUUUACCAAACUAAGUUAGCAGCUAUACUAAACAAGCAAAAGUUCCCAAGCAAUUUAUGACAAGCAACAUAUUACCUCAUCAUCAAGUUUCAUUCUUACUUAGUGUAGCAUAGCGAUGAAGCAGUCCCAAACUGUGAGAGGCAGAAAAAUCGAUUCAAAUUUCUUAACCAUGCAUGGUGAACCUAAUCUCACGACAUCCACGCACCACGAAGGUUGCCUCCUUUGUCGGCCGUCCCCAUCAAUUCCCAGGCACGCGUCAGGUCCAAACUUCCUGCAAUGCUCCACAGUCUCGACCUCUUGCCGUACUGUGACCGCACUUGCACCCACAUGAUGCACCAUGGGAACCUCGUUCUAGGGACAGCAGGGGUAUAAGCCACGCCCUAGUUCAAUCAGGUACUAGGCUUCCCCAUCCCAUACUAGGUAUGAGAUUAGGGCCCUGUUUGUAUCCUCUUAUUUCCCACUUAUUGGUGGAAAUAAGCAAUAAACCCACCCAAACGCCUUGCUUAUUUCCCGCUUGUCACGUAAGCCGCUUAGUUGAAAAUCUGGAAUAGAACUAGCACCCAGCUUAUCUCGUACGCGGGUCUGGAGAUGCUUCUGGGGCAAGCGGACCAUUUUUCCCCCAGGUACCCUCGGGCAACGACGCCUCCAGGCGUCCACCCCCGCGCUUCCCGCAACCGCUGCCGCCGCUCGGGUCGCCCGGCCCGCCUCCCUACCUUCGCCGGGCUUGGCUCCCACCGCGCCUCCCGCAACCGCCGUCGCUCCUGCAGAUCCCGCCGCCGCCUCUCCUGCAGAUCCCGGCGCCGCCCCCCUGCAGAUCCCGCCGCCGCCGCUCGGGUCGGCCCUUCCGCCUCCCUACCUCCGCCGGCCGCCCCUGCCAGGCCCCCGCCGCGGGCCGCCCCUGCCGCCGGUGCUCCGCCCCCGCCGCGGGCCGCCUGGGCGCCGCCCCCGCUGCCGGACACCCCUGCCGCGGGCCGCCUGGGCGCCGCCCCUGCCGCCGGACGCCCCUGCCGCUUGGGCGCCGCUUUCGCCGCGGGACGCCCCUGUCCCCUGGGAUCCAGCCCCGCCGCCGAACGCCCCUGCCGCCUGGGCGCCGCCCCGCCGCCGGACGCCCCUGCCGCCGGGGCGUCACCCCCGCCGCCGGACGCCCCCGCCGUCUCUCCUGGAACCUUGUGCUCAUCAGACGUUGAUAGAAAGCUUAAGGUUAGCAACAAAGACUAUCUAUUACCAAAUUGCAGCUUGAAGCCUUUGUGUAUUACUUUUCCCACAUAGCAAAAUUCAGAAGUUGGGCGCUGUUUCCUUUCUGAACAAUGAAAGGUGGAGCAGCUAACUAAAGUUUUUGAAAAAUAAGAAAGGUUUCCAUUACCACAAGGAGUUGUGCAAUUUAAAAAAAUCUUUUGAAUAAUGAAAGGUGAAGCGAUGGAGUUAAUACUGAAUACUAAACAAGUUAAGAAUAACAUAAGGGUGCAAAAAAAUAGAAGUUAUUACACAGUAUGAUACAAUAAUGAAAACAUACCCCCAAUGUAGCUUCCUUUUGUCCCUUGAUAGGGGUUGUGCAGGAUCCUGUACAUAUAUGGUGAUAAAACCAUCACGGUUAUUGCAUGAAGUCACAACUGUGGGGUAUAAUUAAAGUAAGAUGAGGACUCCUAACGAUAUCUAAAUUGUAGUCAAUUAAAUAUGGAGUAUCAUAGAGGGUGCAAAGUUGACUCUGUUAACCACCUAAUGGCAACCAAGUAUGCUCAAUGGCAUAUCAAAGUUAGAGUACUUGCAAUUUGCCAAACCUGUCCAUUAAUUCAAUUAACUACAUUUCUUUUUCACGACUUAUGCGUAACCUUUCUACUUGGUAGUUUAAAUGAAGUCAUUAAUUCUUUUUUCAUUUUGCAUUGGAGUCUCUUUGGAGCUGUAUGAUGAUGGAGUAGCUCAUAACAAUUUUAUGCAUGUGUGCAGUUGCUGCGGAGGAUCUGGACAGCUGUAGCUGUUACGACUGCAAGGCUGCCAAUAAAUAGCAAGGUAAAAUUUGUGUCACUUCUUGAUGGAUUGCUAAAAUGACAGAUUGUGGGUUGUAUGGUCAGUGAACAAGCUCGUAGAUUUGUAUUUAAUUCUACAAUACUGUAAUCAAAUUUUAGAUGGAAAAGUCAUCAAAGAUUGUGGCAAAAUGGGAUUCAUUUGCCGUGAAAGCUUUCAAUGACAUUUGUGUGGAAGAAGUACUUGCUUUCAAUCAGCCGCAGCAAUGUUUGAAUGCGGUAGGAUAUGCAAACCUUCUUAGAAAGUUUUAUGAGCGUACCAAGAGACCAUACAGUGAGAGUCAAAUGAAGAAUAGGUGGGAUAUAUUGAAAAAGAUGUAUACCUAAUGGAAGACUUUGAACUUGAGAUCAACCGGAUUGGGAAGAGAUCCUGUUACUGGUUGUAUUGUGGCUGACGAUGAAUGGUGGGAAGAACAAAAUAUGGUGAGCCUACUAACAAUCAUACUAGAGAUAUAGUUCACAUACACGUUGUUUGUUUGUUUUGAAUUGGAGUAUAAUAGCAUGCUAUUUUGGUAAUAUUUUACAGGCUAUGCCAGGUUGUAUCCGGUUCAGAACAACUCCGCUUGAAUAUGAGGAUCAGAUGCGAAUCAUGUUUGAAUCAGUCAUUGUUACAAAUGAAACUUCAUAUGUUCCAAGUGGUGAUGGAAACAUUGAUGUUGAUGAACAUGAUGUUGUUGAUGUUGAGGGCAACAAUGAUAGGGAGGCACAUAAGGCCCCAUCCAGUUCUGAGCGGAGGGCUUCAAAAAGGCCAGCUCCUAGUUCCCCUAAAGGAAAGAAGAAGAAGACUUUUAGAGACUAGUGCAUGAAGCGGUUGGUCGAUGCAUAUGAGUUGAAAGCUCAAAGUAGUAAACAUUCAGCUACUUCAUAAGUUGUUGAUCACGUUAGAGAUGAGAUUGGAAGUAUGUUGGAGCAAGUCAUUAACGAUGGGGCUGAGGAGGGGAGUGAUGAACACUUCUAUGCCACACAGCUUCUUCAAAAAAAGGAAAACCGUGAUGUGUUCAUUACAUUGAAGACACCAAAUGGGAGGUUGAAUUGGCUGAGGAGAGCUUGGGAGAUAUGGAAGAAGCACUAGGGUGUUGCAUUAGUGUGCCAUUUCUCUUUCAUUUCUCUUAUGUUGUGUGAGACAUAAUUUCAAUUUUCUAAGUAUGAUGUGUGAGACUAUGAACCUUCUAUUAGUUGUGUUGUAACAAUAAAAAUUCAUCUGAUGACUUGGUUAGUGCUUUUUGACAGGCUUGCAUUUGUUUUGAUGAGUACCUCUAGUGCAAUUAGUGAAUGUGAAGGCAACAGUGAUUCUAUUCAUACCAUGGAUGUUGAUGAAUCUGAUGACACUGAUGAUGAUUACAUAGUGGCAAUGCUUGGUAUGGACUACAUGGCAUCAUCUGGUAUGCACAAGAAGAAGAUUACUACUACGAUAGCAAGGAUGACUGGAAUACAGUGGGUUGAGUUGCAACUACAAGAUCCAGUGGAGUGCUUUAACAUGUUCAGAAUGAGGAGGUCAGUUUUCUUAAGCCUUCAUGACACUUUGGUGCAAGAUUAUGGAUUGAGAUCAAGUAGACAAUUUUGUAGCAAGAAAGCACUAGGAAUGUUUCUAUGGGCUUGUGGUGCACCUCAAUCUUUUAGGCAAUGCAAGAAUAAUUUCCAUCACUCAUUAGAAACUGUGAGUAGAAAAUUUGAAGAGG